RNAcentral lists this ribosomal RNA (429 nucleotides) under Bacteroidota bacterium. Its description in RNAcentral is "Bacteroidetes bacterium partial 16S ribosomal RNA". It matches the Rfam family "Bacterial small subunit ribosomal RNA", at positions 355 to 776 of the family's 1533-position model. The record is from RNAcentral. Lineage: Bacteria; Pseudomonadati; Bacteroidota.
UAGGGAAUCUUCCGCAAUGGACGCAAGUCUGAUGGAGCAACGCCGCGUGAGUGAAGAAGGAUUUCGGUUCGUAAAACUCCGUUGUUAGAGAAGAACAGCGCAUAGAGUAACUGUUAUGCGUGUGACGGUAUCUAACCAGAAAGCCACGGCUAACUACGUGCCAGCAGCCGCGGUAAUACGUAGGUGGCAAGCGUUGUCCGGAUUUAUUGGGCGUAAAGCGAGCGCAGGCGGUCAAUUAAGUCUGAUGUGAAAGCCCCCGGCUCAACCGGGGAGGGUCAUUAGAAACUGGGUGACUUGAGUGCAGAAGAGGAGAGUGGAAUUCCAUGUGUAGCGGUGAAAUGCGUAGAUAUAUGGAGGAACACCAGUGGCGAAGGCGACUCUCUGGUCUGUAACUGACGCUGAGGCUCGAAAGCGUGGGUAGCAAACAGG